RNAcentral lists this ribosomal RNA (483 nucleotides) under uncultured bacterium. Its description in RNAcentral is "partial 16S ribosomal RNA". It matches the Rfam family "Bacterial small subunit ribosomal RNA", at positions 30 to 506 of the family's 1533-position model. The record is from RNAcentral.
AUUGAACGCUGGCGGCAGGCCUAACACAUGCAAGUCGAGCGGAUGAAGGGAGCUUGCUCCUGGAUUCAGCGGCGGACGGGUGAGUAAUGCCUAGGAAUCUGCCUGGUAGUGGGGGAUAACGUCCGGAAACGGGCGCUAAUACCGCAUACGUCCUGAGGGAGAAAGUGGGGGAUCUUCGGACCUCACGCUAUCAGAUGAGCCUAGGUCGGAUUAGCUAGUUGGUGGGGUAAAGGCCUACCAAGGCGACGAUCCGUAACUGGUCUGAGAGGACGAUCAGUCACACUGGAACUGAGACACGGUCCAGACUCCUACGGGAGGCAGCAGUGGGGAAUAUUGGACAAUGGGCGAAAGCCUGAUCCAGCCAUGCCGCGUGUGUGAAGAAGGUCUUCGGAUUGUAAAGCACUUUAAGUUGGGAGGAAGGGCAGUAAGUUAAUACCUGGCUGUUUUGACGUGACCAACAGAAUAAGCACCGGCGAACUUCGU